RNAcentral lists this ribosomal RNA (550 nucleotides) under uncultured bacterium. RNAcentral describes it as "bacterial SSU rRNA". It matches the Rfam family "Bacterial small subunit ribosomal RNA", at positions 355 to 896 of the family's 1533-position model. The record is from RNAcentral.
UAGGGAAUCUUCGGCAAUGGACGGAAGUCUGACCGAGCAACGCCGCGUGAGUGAAGAAGGUUUUCGGAUCGUAAAGCUCUGUUGUAAGAGAAGAACGAGUGUGAGAGUGGAAAGUUCACACUGUGACGGUAUCUUACCAGAAAGGGACGGCUAACUACGUGCCAGCAGCCGCGGUAAUACGUAGGUCCCGAGCGUUGUCCGGAUUUAUUGGGCGUAAAGCGAGCGCAGGCGGUUAGAUAAGUCUGAAGUUAAAGGCUGUGGCUUAACCAUAGUAGGCUUUGGAAACUGUUUAACUUGGGUGCAAGAGGGGAGAGUGGAAUUCCAUGUGUAGCGGUGAAAUGCGUAGAUAUAUGGAGGAACACCGGUGGCGAAAGCGGCUCUCUGGCUUGUAACUGACGCUGAGGCUCGAAAGCGUGGGGAGCAAACAGGAUUAGAUACCCUGGUAGUCCACGCUGUAAACGAUGAGUGCUAGGUGUUAGACCCUUUCCGGGGUUUAGUGCCGUAGCUAACGCAUUAAGCACUCCGCCUGGGGAGUACGACCGCAAGGUUG